GGUACCCCUACAGUAAAGCUAUGCGACUUUGAUAUGGCAAUACCCCUUCGUUCAUACUUACAUACUUGCUGCAUUGCCCAUGUUGGAAUUCCUCCACCAGAUGUUUGUGUUGGUACACCUCGUUGGAUGGCUCCUGAGGUCUUUCAGGCGAUGAAUAAGCGCAAUAUCUAUGGGUUGGGUGCUGAUAUUUGGUCGUUUGGGUGCGUCCUUCUGGAAUUGUUAACACUGCAACUUCCUUACUCAGAGUCAUCCGAGUUAGAUAUCCA
This 266-nucleotide unclassified non-coding RNA is filed under the name Hevea brasiliensis (rubber tree). The record is from RNAcentral. Lineage: Eukaryota; Viridiplantae; Streptophyta; Magnoliopsida; Malpighiales; Euphorbiaceae.